Molecule: ribosomal RNA, 253 nt
Filed under: uncultured bacterium
Lineage: Bacteria
Description: partial 16S ribosomal RNA
Rfam family: Bacterial small subunit ribosomal RNA
Source: RNAcentral
GACAGAGGGUGCAAACGUUGUUCGGAAUUACUGGGCGUAAAGCGUGUGUAGGCGGUGAGGUAAGUCAGGUGUGAAAUCCCACGGCUCAACCAUGGAAGUGCACUUGAUACUGCUUCGCUUGAGUACUGGAGAGGUUGGUGGAAUUCUUGGUGUAGAGGUGAAAUUCGUAGAUAUCAAGAGGAACACCGGUGGCGAAGGCGGCCAACUGGACAGAUACUGACGCUGAGACACGAAAGCGCGGGGAGCAAACAGG